UGGCGGACGGGUGAGAAAUGUCUGGGAAACUGCCCGAUGGAGGGGGAUAACUACUGGAAACGGUAGCUAAUACCGCAUAACGUCGCAAGACCAAAGAGGGGGACCUUCGGGCCUCAUGCCAUCGGAUGUGCCCAGAUGGGAUUAGCUAGUAGGUGGGGUAACGGCUCACCUAGGCGACGAUCCCUAGCUGGUCUGAGAGGGUGACCAGCCACACUGGAACUGAGACACGGUCCAGACUCCUACGGGAGGCAGCAGUGGGGAAUAUUGCACAAUGGGCGCAAGCCUGAUGCAGCCAUGCCGCGUGUAUGAAGAAGGCCUUCGGGUUGUAAAGUACUUUCAGCGAGGAGGAAGGUGUUGUGGUUAAUAACCGCAGCAAUUGACGUUACUCGCAGAAGAAGCACCGGCUAACUCCGUGCCAGCAGCCGCGGUAAU
RNAcentral lists this ribosomal RNA (432 nucleotides) under uncultured bacterium. RNAcentral describes it as "bacterial SSU rRNA". It matches the Rfam family "Bacterial small subunit ribosomal RNA", at positions 96 to 524 of the family's 1533-position model. The record is from RNAcentral.